RNAcentral lists this long non-coding RNA (265 nucleotides) under Elaeis guineensis (African oil palm). Its description in RNAcentral is "long non-coding RNA (EGUI_LNC013599)". Lineage: Eukaryota; Viridiplantae; Streptophyta; Magnoliopsida; Arecales; Arecaceae. The record is from RNAcentral.
GCUGUUGACAUUAGAGGUCUUGAAUCUUAAGGUGACAUCCUGCAAUAACUCCAAAGAAGAAGAAGAUCGAUCCGCCUUCGCUUUAAGCGACGCCCAAUCAAAUCUGUCGCCUAUCAUCUACUGUUAACACGUGAGUUGGACUCUCGGACGCGUACCCACUUGUCUUAAAUUGUGCAUAAGCUGUCCUCUACGAAGAUGGCACGCAUGGCAUGCUCAUGGGGUCCUCAGUAUCCAAUGCUCACACUUCCCAUUCUUAAUUCCAACU